Non-coding RNA from Eptesicus fuscus (big brown bat), 696 nucleotides. The record is from the annotation of a RefSeq genome assembly. Lineage: Eukaryota; Metazoa; Chordata; Mammalia; Chiroptera; Vespertilionidae.
AUGAGCUGGACUCCCCUCCUCCUCCUCCUCCUCGCUCUCUGCCCAGGGUCCAGGUCUCAGGCUGUGGUCACUCAGGAGCCCUCAAUGACUGUGUCCCCCGGAGCGACGGUCACUCUCACCUGCGGCUCCAGCACUGGAGCACUCACCGAUGGCCACUACCCGUACUGGAUGCAGCAGAAGUCUGGCCAGGCCCCCAGGACACUCAUUUAUAACACAAACAAGAAACACUCCUGGACGCCGGCCCGGUUCUCAGGCUCCAUCCAAGGGGGCAAAGCUGCCCUGACCCUCGCAGGGGCGCAGCCUGAGGACGAGGCCGAGUACUACUGCUGGCUAUACUUCAGUGGUGCUCGGCACAGGUCCAGGUCUCAGGCUGUGGUCACUCAGGAGCCUGAAAAGACCGUGUCCUCAGGAGGGACAGUCACUCUCACCUGUGGCUCCAGCACAGGGGCUGUCACCGAUGGCCACUACCCGUACUGGUUCCAGCAGAAGUCUGGCCAGGCCCCCAGGACAUUCAUUUACAACACGAACAACAGACACUCCUGGACGCCGGCCCGGUUCUCAGGCUCCAUCCAAGGGGGCAAAGCUGCCCUGACCCUCGCAGGGGCGCAGCCUGAGGACGAGGCUGUGUACCACUGCUGGCUGGUGUACAGCGGUGCUCGGCACAGUGAGAGAUGCAGAUGGGGAACCAGGACAUAA